Molecule: long non-coding RNA, 493 nt
Filed under: Vigna radiata
Lineage: Eukaryota; Viridiplantae; Streptophyta; Magnoliopsida; Fabales; Fabaceae
Description: long non-coding RNA (VRAD_LNC018430)
Source: RNAcentral
UCGGGCAGAGGGGAUCUCCUUGCCAACUAGCCAGAAGCAUGUAAAAGAAAAUCAAACCAAUUGGGGUCAUCCUUUUAGCCGAUCUUUUUCAUGCCCACUACCUCUUCCAAACGGAACCCUUUGCCAAGGAAAAAACUGGGGCAACUUUGUGAGUCUCAUACAAUUUGUUCAUCAACCCAUGUUCAAGACUGGGGUAGCUUUGUGAGUCUCAUACAAAUUUUUCAUCAACUCAUGAUCCCAAGACUGGGGCAGAUUUGCAAGUCUCAUUUGAUUUGUUCACCCUUAUUUUCAUGGAUCCAUACCCUUAUGCUCAUUUUCCUAAACACUAAACCGGGGCAAAAAUUUUUGGUAUAUCUUGUUUCGUCUUGACACUCACAUAUUCCAUCUCCUUUGAGGAUUGUAGUACUCAUGUGUCGGUCCCAGUUUUCCAAACCGUUCUAAACAGCUCUCAUUCUCUUCAAAACCAUCCUCUUGCCAAUAAAUUCAAGCAUGU